AGACGGAGGGUCCUAGCGUUGUUCGGAAUAACUGGGCGUAAAGGGUACGUAGGCGGUUUGGUCAGUUAGAUGUGAAAGCCCAGGGCUCAACCUUGGAACUGCAUUUAAUACUGCCAGACUUGAGAUCGGAAGAGGAAAGCGGAAUUCCUAGUGUAGAGGUGAAAUUCGUAGAUAUUAGGAGGAACAUCAGAGGCGAAGGCGGCUUUCUGGUCCGAUACUGACGCUGAGGUACGAAAGCGUGGGGAGCAAACAGGAUUAGAUACCCUAGUAGUCC
RNAcentral lists this ribosomal RNA (274 nucleotides) under uncultured bacterium. RNAcentral's name for it is "partial 16S ribosomal RNA". It matches the Rfam family "Bacterial small subunit ribosomal RNA", at positions 523 to 796 of the family's 1533-position model. The record is from RNAcentral.